Solanum dulcamara is the source of this 2583-nucleotide long non-coding RNA. RefSeq lists it as uncharacterized. The record is from RefSeq and is a predicted model, not a curated record. The transcript has 3 exons. NCBI's taxonomy places the organism in Eukaryota, Viridiplantae, Streptophyta, Magnoliopsida, Solanales, Solanaceae.
UCCAGCCACUCCUAUCCCAACACUACAUUGGCACUUUCCAAAUUAAAAAGGAAAUAAUGUUGUGUUAUGCACAAUUUUUUAAUUCACAAUUCCAAUGCUUUACAACUUCUCCUACUCUAUACUUCCUGUCCAUUAGCUACUUUCACCACAAACGACUUAAUUUUUGUUUCCUUCAACCCUAAUUCUUCGUGCAAUUUGCGAGAGAUGAAAUAUAUUGAUUCUUUGCUAUCAAUCAACAUAAUAACCUUUUUUCCCUAAUAUUGUUCCCAUGCCUUCAAGGACUUCUUUGUGGUAAAUCCUGCAAUACAGUACAAAGAAAAUUCCAUCAACUUUUUAGACUCUGGUUGUUCUUGAAUAUUUAAUUGAUCCAUCCUUGCAUCAAUUAUUUCAUCUGAAUGCUCUUCUAUGUCUCCAUCUUUGUUGUCCUCUGAUGCAAUAAGAGUCAGUUGACUUUGAUUAGACCAGACCGCCCAGAGAGGAACGUGCCCACGAGGGCACCACAUAAGCAGAUUUAACUGUUUUGAAUUCCACCAGUGACUGGGGCCAUAUUUUUUCAUCGCAGCAAAAACAAAGUCCUCAUCUUAAUUUAUCCAGAUACUCAGCAUCAGAUAGACCUUGUGGUGCUUGUAAUGCCAUAGCUUAGACUUUCUUUGGAUGAUUUGGUCCUUUACUGAUUUAAACAGAAACAAUAUAACUCCAGCAUGGAGCCGAGGUAAGUAAUGGAAAAUUAUGAUAAAGGCAAGGGUAAUAGCUGAUUUCCGGAAGCUUUACUUUUUGUUACUUUUAUUGAAAACUCAUGUCACUCUUCUUGGAUUUUGAGAAAACUUAAUAUAUUCUUCUUUUAUACAACUGUUGAACCUUGGUAUUAGUACUAUUUUCGAAAUUGUAGAGACUUCCUAGUUUUCUAAAAUACAUACCUUGUUUCAUUUUUGAGUUUGAACAUAUUUCAAUCUGUAUAUUUCAGAAUCAACUGUGUAAAACUAUCGACUAUUUUUUCACAUUUAUUUUGAAAAGUCUAAAAGAGUUUAUCAUACAAAAAAAGUAACUACCAGUUUUUGCCCUUUCUGACUACCAAAACCUGAUCAUGCAUUAACCAAAUAACAAAGUAAUAUUUGGAUCUAAAAGCGAUACAUCUAGCUAUUGCCAAGCUGGCAUGAAAUGUAAAUGAAGAGAGAAAAAAAAGAAAAGAGGACAAGUCAGGUGGAGAACAAAUCGAUGUAGCUUAGACAUUAAGGCCUAACAGUUGCAUUAGCUGAGGAUUGAAAGCCCGCUCUCAGAGGAUUACUCUUGUGUGAUGGUUCUGAGUCUAGCAUCAACCAAGAAGAUUGACAAGAACAUUUAUCUGUUGGUUGCCUCUCACAUAUCAUUCUCACUAUAGAGUUAACUUACGGAGUCUCAUCACCAGGAAAAGUCAGCAGAAGGCAAUCUGAGUUUCCACUAGUUGAGAGGUAUAUAUAACCUCCUUCUUCGUCAUGUCUGGGAAACAACAUAGUUCCUGAACCAUCAGGUGCUACAUAUAAGAUGAUGUGAUUUAACUUAAAACAGGAUAUACUUGACACUUUUAUUACAGUUCCUGCUUUGUGAAGUGUGUCAUAGACAUGGCAGUUCAUGAGCUUAAAGCACACAAUGAGGAGGUUGCUCCAUAGAGAAGGAACUAGGUGAAAGAUGUUAGGAUCAAUCAUGAGUUAAACAUCGAAGAAAAAAAGUAAAAAAGGAUAAAAUUGAGAAAAAUGAAAGCUGAAGCUCGCAAAGAGCUUUACGUGGGUCGCCAAAGGAGUCAAAACCUCGUCGAAUGCAUCAGAACUCAAGGCUAAAAGCCUGAGCCUUUUGGAGAGGAAAGCGGAUUUUGGCAACUCACCGAAGUUAUUUGGGCGAGUUGCAUCACGACCGUCUAAAUGCCAUUGAAAGAACAUCAGAACGGUGAGUAAGCAAGCAAAUUGGCGAUUCGUGGAUAGGAAAGGCAAGCAUGUCCAAGCUUGCCUAAUAUAUUAGAGCCUCAGGAAAAGAAAGCAAGCUAAUGAAGAAACAUGUGAGAGGUAAAAAUGGUGACUCGCUGAAUGUGUUGGUGAGAGAGAUCGAGCUCGCCUAAUCAGAGAUCAUGAACUGAAGGAGAAACAUUCCAGUAGGCAAGACAAAGGACAAAUCGGCGAUACGCCGACCACUUUGCUGAGCUCGACUAACGUCGCCGAAGUGGUUUCAAUUGUCAAUUUUUUCUUGUGUUUUGCAUUCGUAUAAAUAGAAUUUUCAAAGGAAAAUGAGGGACGUUUUUCACUGCCAAGACUUAGAGACAAAAACCAAAAAGUUAUUUGCGGGUUUUGAGAAUUUGUUUUGGAGAUUUUAGCUUGGACUUUGGAUUUUGGAUUUUAAACUUUACUGAAUCAAAUGGAUGAUAAUUACUUUGGUAUAAUUUCUUUAAACUCUGUAAUGUGUGGCUAAAUCUCCUACUUCUAAGGGGGUGCUAUUAAGUUAGAUUGUUGUUCUACAUUUGGGUUUUUGUAACAGCUCAUAAAUUGUUAAUUUGAAAUGAGUUUUGUUAAUUUGAUGUGGAAUCAAUAUGAAUUAUGGUUGUAAAUAUAUUUCUAU